Molecule: ribosomal RNA, 1515 nt
Filed under: metagenome
Description: bacterial SSU rRNA
Rfam family: Bacterial small subunit ribosomal RNA
Source: RNAcentral
AGAGUUUGAUCCUGGCUCAGAAUGAACGCUGGCGGCGUGCUUAACACAUGCAAGUCGAACGAGAAAUCUGUAGCUUGCUACGGAGAGUAAAGUGGCGAACGGGUGAGUAACACGUGAGUAAUCUACCCUCAAAUUCGGGAUAACGUUGCGAAAGCGACGCUAAUACCGGAUGUGGUUUUAUGUGCGAAGGCAGAUAAAACUAAAGUUGGCCAAUAGGAAUAAGCUAAUGUUUGAGGAUGAGCUCGCGUACCAUUAGUUAGUUGGCAGGGUAAAAGCCUACCAAGACAGCGAUGGUUAGCUGGUCUGAGAGGAUGAUCAGCCACACUGGAACUGAUACACGGUCCAGACUCCUACGGGAGGCAGCAGUGAGGAAUUUUGCGCAAUGGGGGAAACCCUGACGCAGCAACGCCGCGUGAGUGAAGAAGGCCUUCGGGUUGUAAAGCUCUGUUAAGAGGGAAGAAAGUAUUGUGCAUAAAUAGUGCAUGGUAUUGACGGUACCUUUAGAGGAAGCAUCGGCUAACUCCGUGCCAGCAGCCGCGGUAAUACGGAGGAUGCGAGCGUUAUUCGGAAUCACUGGGCGUAAAGGGCGCGUAGGCGGCUAUGUAAGUCGAUUGUGAAAGCCCAUAGCUUAACUAUGGAAGUGCAGUCGAAACUAUGUAGCUUGAGUAUAGGAGAGGAAAGCGGAAUUCCUGGUGUAGAGGUGAAAUUCGUAGAUAUCGGGAGGAACACCGGUGGCGAAGGCGGCUUUCUGGACUAAUACUGACGCUGAGGCGCGAAGGUGUGGGUAGCAAACAGGAUUAGAUACCCUGGUAGUCCACACAGUAAACGGUGAAUACUAGGUGUAGCGGGGAUUAACCUGCUGUGCCGGAGCAAACGCAAUAAGUAUUCCGCCUGGGAAGUACGGCCGCAAGGCUAAAACUCAAAGGAAUUGACGGGGGCCCGCACAAGCGGUGGAGCAUGUGGUUUAAUUCGACAGCGCGAAGAACCUUACCUGGGCUUGACAUCUUAGGAACCUACUUGAAAGAGUGGGGUGCCUUCGGGAGCCUAAAGACAGGUGCUGCAUGGCUGUCGUCAGCUCGUGUCGUGAGAUGUUGGGUUAAGUCCCGCAACGAGCGCAACCCUUAUCUUUAGUUGCCAACAGUAAGAUGGGAACUCUAGAGAUACUGCCUGGGUUAACUAGGAGGAAGGUGGGGAUGACGUCAAGUCCUCAUGGCCCUUACGCUCAGGGCUACACACGUGCUACAAUGGUCUGUACAAAGGGUUGCAAAUCCGAGAGGAAGAGCUAAUCCCAAAAAACAGAUCUAAGUUCGGAUUGGAGUCUGCAACUCGACUUCAUGAAGCUGGAAUCGCUAGUAAUCGUAGAUCAGCAUGCUACGGUGAAUACGUUCCCGGGCCUUGUACACACCGCCCGUCACACCAUGAGAGUUGGUUAUACCAGAAGAAAUUGAGCUAACCUAACAAGGAAGCAGGUUUCUAAGGUAUGGUCGAUGAUUGGGGUGAAGUCGUAACAAGGUA